AACAAUAGCAACUCGAAAUAAAAUACAAACGUCGAUCAAACAAAUAUAAUAAUAAUAUAAUUCAAAUAAAAUGACUGAAUUUGAUGAAACACCUGAACCACCAAUAAAACCUCAAGAAAGAAAGAAAAACUACUUCGAAAAAUUUUUUUGUGUCGUCAGUUGUACCUUGAACAAGCCGGUGGAGAUACUUCACGAUACUUUUGUGACACCUGAUCGGAAAGAAUAUGCAUGGUAUCAUCAGAAGUUUCCACGUGUGCCUACAAUUGAUGAAUGCUACGAAGAUGAUCUAGUAUGUUUCUCAGAAGCUAAUUAUCAAUACAAGAGGGAUCGCCUUGUUGAUUCGGAAAUUAUUAGAAUUUUAAGGCAGCGUUUUGAAAACUGCGUCAUGUAUGAAACACCUCAGCACUUGGAAAGAUGUGAUCAUCUUUUAAAAGAAUACGACGAGGCUAGUACAAACUGGUUCACAAAGUAUGGAGAUCUUGGUGGGUAUCACAAUGUUACUAAAUGUUAUAUGAAGCAGAAACAUCGAUUGCUUUGGGAAAGAAAAUAUGGGGAAGUCGGUACUGGAAUGAAUGAAAAGGUAGAAGAGGACAUUGAAGAUGAUGAAAAGAACCAGAAACAUGGGUGCUAGAGUGGUGUACAAUAAGAAGAAUAAUAGAUGUAAUUGGACAUCUAUCCAAGCUUUGCACUGCUGUAAUUUACUAAUGAAGACGAUUAGAGGUGUAAUAAGUUUGUGAUUGUGUUGAAUACGCUGCAUAUAUAUACAAAUUAAAUUCGGAUUCAGGAUAUUUCUACGAUUUUAAGGCUAAUAAGUGUAUGAUGGCGCCAUCUUGGUUCAUUUUAAACAACUAAUUCAUACACAAACUUUCAUCCCUUAUUCUUUUCAAAUUCUAGGUUUUUCUCUUCAAAAAUGUUAAUGUUUUAUUCAUGUAAAGCACCUAGAAAAACUGUACUGAUAAGGGAAACCUGAAUUAAAACUGCGUGAUUUAGAAAUUGUCUUACUGUUUUGCUAUAUAUGUACUUUAAAAAUUAAAAUGUCUGACAUGGUUAA
Dalotia coriaria is the source of this 1051-nucleotide long non-coding RNA. RefSeq lists it as uncharacterized. Lineage: Eukaryota; Metazoa; Arthropoda; Insecta; Coleoptera; Staphylinidae. The record is from RefSeq and is a predicted model, not a curated record. The transcript has 2 exons.